This is a long non-coding RNA of Mizuhopecten yessoensis (Yesso scallop), 1046 nucleotides long. RefSeq lists it as uncharacterized. The transcript is spliced from 2 exons. Lineage: Eukaryota; Metazoa; Mollusca; Bivalvia; Pectinida; Pectinidae. The record is from RefSeq and is a predicted model, not a curated record.
AAUGUUUACUGUCUCCUAGGAGUUUAUCUUAUUAGUUUGGAGUGAGGAAAUAUAUAGUAGUUACAGGAGAAAUUAGAAAUAUGGUAAGAGAGAAGAAGUAGGCAAAGUCAGAUUGAGGUUAAUUUAGUGAGACAGUAGGAGUAAGCCAAAUCUCCAUGAGUUUAUAUUAAGCUAUAAAGUAGAAAUCUGCCAAGUCUGCUUGAGUUUAUAUUUAGUAUGAGAGAAGCAGUAAGCCAAAUAUGCUCAAGUUUCUAUUUGUAAGAGAGUAGAAUUAGGCCAAGUUUGUAAGAGUUAAUAUUUAGUGAGAUAGUAGAAGUAAGCAGAAGCAAAAAAGGUAGAAUGAAAUGAGAAAACAUUUAUACAGAGUUGAUUGUUCUUUUAUUUGCAGAUUGCAAUAACAUGCCUAUCAACUGUGUUAUCAGCGGACUUCAAGUCCUCAGAAAUUGAAGUUGGAGUUGUAACAACAGAACAUCCUAAAUUCAGGGCUUUGACAGAGGAUGAAAAAGAUGCACACCUUGUAGCCAUAGCAGAGAAAGAUUAACACAACAUCACUUCUUUACAUCUGAACAAUUUUUCACAAUUUUGAAGUACUUCUCUUCAGAGAAACUAAUGGAACAAACCUCUUCUGGAUGUGACAUCACCCAUCACCAUUACUUUCUUGAGACACAUUUUCUGACAACAUAUAAGUGCUCCUACAAGGAAAACUUACAAUAGUGCUAUGUAACAAAUGUUUGUGAUAUUGUUCUGUAUAAAAUAAUUAUAAAAUACUGUCAACAAGGUUGAUAAACAAGUUCAGUAAAUAUCUAGGUAAAGGUUAACAACUAUAUAUUUACUAAUAACAUUAUCUGUAGUAGGGUUCUACAAUGUUUCCUAGAUACAAAAUUUCUCAUAACUUGUCAAAUGAUAAGAAUUCUUUGGUGAGCAAUGAAAAGAGAGGUGGAUUCGUUAGUUACAAGCAUGUUAUUUAACUUGCUGUACAUCAGUUUCAUUUCAUGAAAAGAAUGUAUUAUAUUGUUGAAUGAUCUAAUUAAAUGUGUCAAUUUGUA